GUACGGGAGGCAGCAGUUGGGAAUCUUGGACAAUGGGGGAAACCCUGAUCCAGCCAUGCCGCGUGAGUGAUGAAGGCCUUCGGGUUGUAAAGCUCUUUUACCCGGGAAGAUAAUGACUGUACCGGGAGAAUAAGCUCCGGCUAACUUCGUGCCAGCAGCCGCGGUAAUACGAAGGGGGCUAGCGUUGUUCGGAAUUACUGGGCGUAAAGCGCGCGCAGGCGGUUUUUCAAGUCAGUGGUGAAAGCCCGGAGCUCAACUCCGGAACUGCCAUUGAAACUGUGAAACUUGAGGACGAGAGAGGUGAGUGGAAUUCCCAGUGUAGAGGUGAAAUUCGUAGAUAUUGGGAAGAACACCGGUGGCGAAGGCGGCUCACUGGCUCGUUUCUGACGCUCAGGCGCGACAGCGUGGGGAUCAAACAGGAUUAGAUACCCCGGUAGU
This 438-nucleotide ribosomal RNA is filed under the name uncultured bacterium. Its description in RNAcentral is "bacterial SSU rRNA". It matches the Rfam family "Bacterial small subunit ribosomal RNA", at positions 339 to 794 of the family's 1533-position model. The record is from RNAcentral.